CAGCCUCAACUCGCCUGUGUUGGUGGCC
RNAcentral lists this non-coding RNA (28 nucleotides) under Rattus norvegicus (Norway rat). Lineage: Eukaryota; Metazoa; Chordata; Mammalia; Rodentia; Muridae. The record is from RNAcentral.